CCCCUGACACGCGGCGAGCGUGAAGCUGCUGCGGGAAAAGUUCGAAAUUCUCGCAGCAGCUUC
Molecule: small RNA, 63 nt
Filed under: Mycobacteroides abscessus subsp. abscessus
Lineage: Bacteria; Bacillati; Actinomycetota; Actinomycetes; Mycobacteriales; Mycobacteriaceae
Description: Mycobacterium sRNA Ms_IGR-8
Rfam family: Mycobacterium sRNA Ms_IGR-8
Source: RNAcentral